Molecule: ribosomal RNA, 495 nt
Filed under: uncultured bacterium
Lineage: Bacteria
Description: partial 16S ribosomal RNA
Rfam family: Bacterial small subunit ribosomal RNA
Source: RNAcentral
GAUGAACGCUGGCGGCGUGCCUAAUACAUGCAAGUCGAGCGAACGGACGAGAAGCUUGCUUCUCUGAUGUUAGCGGCGGACGGGUGAGUAACACGUGGAUAACCUACCUAUAAGACUGGGAUAACUUCGGGAAACCGGAGCUAAUACCGGAUAAUAUUUUGAACCGCAUGGUUCAAAAGUGAAAGACGGUCUUGCUGUCACUUAUAGAUGGAUCCGCGCUGCAUUAGCUAGUUGGUAAGGUAACGGCUUACCAAGGCAACGAUGCAUAGCCGACCUGAGAGGGUGAUCGGCCACACUGGAACUGAGACACGGUCCAGACUCCUACGGGAGGCAGCAGUAGGGAAUCGUCCGCAAUGGGCGAAAGCCUGACGGAGCAACGCCGCGUGAGUGAUGAAGGUCUUCGGAUCGUAAAACUCUGUUAUUAGGGAAGAACAUAUGUGUAAGUAACUGUGCACAUCUUGACGGUACCUAAUCAGAAAGCCACGGCUAACUACG